Molecule: ribosomal RNA, 406 nt
Filed under: uncultured bacterium
Lineage: Bacteria
Description: partial 16S ribosomal RNA
Rfam family: Bacterial small subunit ribosomal RNA
Source: RNAcentral
AUUGAACGCUGGCGGCAGGCCUAACACAUGCAAGUCGAACGAGUGGCGGACGGGUGAGUAAUGUAUGGGAAACUGCCCGGUGGAGGGGGAUAACUACUGGAAACGGUGGCUAAUACCGCAUACCAUCGGAUGUGCCGAGAUGGGAUGAGCUAGUGGGUGGGGUAAUGGCUCACCUAGGCGACGAUCCCUAGCUGGUCUGAGAGGAUGACCAGCCACACUGGAACUGAGACACGGUCCAGACUCCUACGGGAGGCAGCAUUGGGGAAUAUGGCACAAUGGGCGCAAGCCUGAUGCAGCCAUGCCGCGUGUAUGAAGAAGGCCUUCGGGUUGUAAAGUACUUUCAGCGGGGAGGCGUUACUCGCAGAAGAAGCACCGGCUAACUCCGUGCCAGCAGCCGCGGUAAUUC